Non-coding RNA from Trichophaea hybrida, 87 nucleotides. NCBI's taxonomy places the organism in Eukaryota, Fungi, Ascomycota, Pezizomycetes, Pezizales, Pyronemataceae. The record is from the annotation of a GenBank genome assembly.
GGUCUAUUAGCUCAGUUGGUUAGAGUGUGGUGCUAAUACAUGUGUAUCGCAACGCCAAGGUCACAGGUUCGACCCCUGUAUGGAUCA